GCAGUCGAACGGUGAAGCCCAGCUUGCUGGGUGGAUCAGUGGCGAACGGGUGAGUAACACGUGAGCAACCUGCCCCCUACUUCGGGAUAAGCCUUGGAAACGAGGUCUAAUACCGGAUAUGAACACUUGUCGCAUGGCGGGUGUUGGAAAGUUUUUCGGUGGGGGAUGGGCUCGCGGCCUAUCAGCUUGUUGGUGGGGUAAUGGCCUACCAAGGCGUCGACGGGUAGCCGGCCUGAGAGGGCGACCGGCCACACUGGGACUGAGACACGGCCCAGACUCCUACGGGAGGCAGCAGUGGGGAAUAUUGCACAAUGGGCGAAAGCCUGAUGCAGCGACGCCACGUGAGGGAUGACGGCCUUCGGGUUGUAAACCUCUUUCAGCAGGGAAGAAGCGAAAGUGACGGUACCUGCAGAAGAAGCGCCGGCUAACUACGUGCCAGCAGCCGCGGUAAUACGUAGGGCGCAAGCGUUGUCCGGAAUUAUUGGGCGUAAAGAGCUCGUAGGCGGUCUGUCGCGUCUGGUGUGAAAUCCCAUGGCUCAACUGUGGGCUUGCAUCGGGUACGGGCAGACUAGAGUGCUGUAGGGGAGACUGGAAUUCCUGGUGUAGCGGUGGAAUGCGCAGAUAUCAGGAGGAACACCGAUGGCGAAGGCAGGUCUCUGGGCAGUUACUGACGCUGAGGAGCGAAAGCAUGGGGAGCGAACAGGAUUAGAUACCCUGGUAGUCCAUGCCGUAAACGUUGGGCACUAGGUGUGGGGCGGGUUCCACUCGUUCUGUGCCGCAGCUAACGCAUUAAGUGCCCCGCCUGGGGAGUACGGCCGCAAGGCUAAAACUCAAAGGAAUUGACGGGGGCCCGCACAAGCGGCGGAGCAUGCGGAUUAAUUCGAUGCAACGCGAAGAACCUUACCAAGGCUUGACAUGUACGAGAAAGCCCCAGAGAUGGGGUUCUCUUUGGACACUCGUACACA
RNAcentral lists this ribosomal RNA (965 nucleotides) under Promicromonospora sp. RNAcentral's name for it is "bacterial SSU rRNA". It matches the Rfam family "Bacterial small subunit ribosomal RNA", at positions 57 to 1036 of the family's 1533-position model. Lineage: Bacteria; Bacillati; Actinomycetota; Actinomycetes; Micrococcales; Promicromonosporaceae. The record is from RNAcentral.